CUCAUAGCGUAUAUUUAAGUUGUUGCAGUUAAAAAGCUCGUAGUCGGAUUUUGGCUGAGAACGGUCGGUCCGCCGUUAGGUGUGCACUGACUGGUCUCAGCUUCCUGGUGAGGAGGUGUGCUUCAUCGCCACUUAGUCACCGUGGUUACUUUGAAAAAAUUAGAGUGUUCAAAGCGGGCUUACGCUUGAAUAUAUUAGCAUGGAAUAACACCAUAGGACUCCUGUCCUAUUUCGUUGGUCUCGGGACGGGAGUAAUGAUUAAGAGGAACAGUUGGGGGCAUUCGUAUUUCAUUGUCAGAGGUGAAAUUCUUGGAUUUAUGAAAGACGAACUUCUGCGAAAGCAUUUGCCAAGGAUGUUUUCAUUGAUCAAGAACGAAAGUUGGGGGCUCGAAGAUGAUUAGAUACCAUCCUAGUCUCAACCAUAAACGAUGCCGACUAGGGAUUGGCGGAUGUUAAUUGAUGACUUCGCCAGCACCUUAUGAGAAAUCAAAGUUUUUGGGUUCCGGGGGGAGUAUGGUCGCA
This 522-nucleotide ribosomal RNA is filed under the name uncultured eukaryote. RNAcentral describes it as "SSU rRNA". It matches the Rfam family "Eukaryotic small subunit ribosomal RNA", at positions 591 to 1133 of the family's 1831-position model. The record is from RNAcentral.